This 758-nucleotide ribosomal RNA is filed under the name Escherichia coli. RNAcentral describes it as "partial 23S ribosomal RNA". It matches the Rfam family "Bacterial large subunit ribosomal RNA", at positions 1917 to 2674 of the family's 2925-position model. The record is from RNAcentral. Lineage: Bacteria; Pseudomonadati; Pseudomonadota; Gammaproteobacteria; Enterobacterales; Enterobacteriaceae.
GCCCCGGUAAACGGCGGCCGUAACUAUAACGGUCCUAAGGUAGCGAAAUUCCUUGUCGGGUAAGUUCCGACCUGCACGAAUGGCGUAAUGAUGGCCAGGCUGUCUCCACCCGAGACUCAGUGAAAUUGAACUCGCUGUGAAGAUGCAGUGUACCCGCGGCAAGACGGAAAGACCCCGUGAACCUUUACUAUAGCUUGACACUGAACAUUGAGCCUUGAUGUGUAGGAUAGGUGGGAGGCUUUGAAGUGUGGACGCCAGUCUGCAUGGAGCCGACCUUGAAAUACCACCCUUUAAUGUUUGAUGUUCUAACGUUGGCCCGUAAUCCGGGUUGCGGACAGUGUCUGGUGGGUAGUUUGACUGGGGCGGUCUCCUCCUAAAGAGUAACGGAGGAGCACGAAGGUUGGCUAAUCCUGGUCGGACAUCAGGAGGUUAGUGCAAUGGCAUAAGCCAGCUUGACUGCGAGCGUGACGGCGCGAGCAGGUGCGAAAGCAGGUCAUAGUGAUCCGGUGGUUCUGAAUGGAAGGGCCAUCGCUCAACGGAUAAAAGGUACUCCGGGGAUAACAGGCUGAUACCGCCCAAGAGUUCAUAUCGACGGCGGUGUUUGGCACCUCGAUGUCGGCUCAUCACAUCCUGGGGCUGAAGUAGGUCCCAAGGGUAUGGCUGUUCGCCAUUUAAAGUGGUACGCGAGCUGGGUUUAGAACGUCGUGAGACAGUUCGGUCCCUAUCUGCCGUGGGCGCUGGAGAACUGAGGGGGGCUG